RNAcentral lists this ribosomal RNA (481 nucleotides) under uncultured bacterium. Its description in RNAcentral is "partial 16S ribosomal RNA". It matches the Rfam family "Bacterial small subunit ribosomal RNA", at positions 28 to 507 of the family's 1533-position model. The record is from RNAcentral.
GACGAACGUUGGCGGCGUGCUUAAUACAUGCCAGUCAACUGAAGCAGUGGUAGCAAUAUCGCUGUGGAGGUGGCGCACGGGUGAGUAACACGUAGGUAAUCUGCCUUCAGGUCUGGCAUAACUCCGGGAAACCGGGGCUAAUAGCAGAUGAUGCAGCGUCUCGACAUCGAGACAGUUGUUAAAGCUAUGGCGCCUGAAGAUGAGCCUGCGUCUGAUUAGCUAGUUGGCGGGGUAACGGCCCACCAAGGCAACGAUCAGUAGCUGGUCUGAGAGGAUGAUCAGCCACACUGGAACUGAGACACGGUCCAGACUCCUACGGGAGGCAGCAGUAAGGAAUAUUGCUCAAUGGGAGAAAUCCUGAAGCAGCAACGCCGCGUGAGGGACGAAGGGCUUUUGCUUGUAAAACUCUGUAGUGAGAGAAAAAAAUCCCAAUCUUUGGGACAUGAUGGUAUCUCAAAAGUAAGCCCCGGCUAACUACGUG